Molecule: signal recognition particle RNA, 213 nt
Filed under: Bacillus licheniformis
Lineage: Bacteria; Bacillati; Bacillota; Bacilli; Caryophanales; Bacillaceae
Description: partial signal recognition particle sRNA large type
Rfam family: Bacterial large signal recognition particle RNA
About the family: The signal recognition particle (SRP) is a universally conserved ribonucleoprotein involved in the co-translational targeting of proteins to membranes. Archaeal SRP consists of a 7S RNA and homologues of the eukaryotic SRP19 and SRP54 proteins.
Source: RNAcentral
CCGUGCUAAGCGGGGAGGUAGCGGUGCCCUGUACUCGCAAUCCGCUCGAGCGAGGCCGAAUCCCUUUCUCGAGGUUCGUUUACUUUAAGGUCUGCCUUAAGCAAGUGGUGUUGACGCUUGGGUCCUGCGCAAUGGGAAUCCAUGAACCAUGUCAGGUCCGGAAGGAAGCAGCAUUAAGUGGAACCUUCCAUGUGCCGCAGGGUUGCCUGGGCU